This 1378-nucleotide long non-coding RNA is filed under the name Rosa chinensis. RNAcentral describes it as "sRNA RchiOBHm_Chr7g0210811". Lineage: Eukaryota; Viridiplantae; Streptophyta; Magnoliopsida; Rosales; Rosaceae. The record is from RNAcentral.
UGGUCUUGCUGCUUCAUGUAUGAUAUCCAUGAUCUCCAAUGCCAACAAACUGAGCAAGUAUUUCAUUUGUCUAGUCAAUCAAGGAAAGUCGACUGAUGAUCAGGCAUGACAAGCUAACAACACAGUGGAAAUCAGGCCAAGGAGCUAGAAAAUAAUGAAAAAUAAGAAAGCUGAUGAGCACUUAAAAUAUAUUCCCAUACUGUUGUUGAUAGCAAUAAAGAAGUUUACAAGGGAUUGAAACACAGAAUACUGUGAGUUCAAAAUUGGAGUCCUGAUUUUGGACCAAUAUCAUCAUUUGUCUGCUUCAAAAAUUUUGUAUCUUCCUGCUCAGCUCUAUUGCAGCUUCAAUCUUCCCAAAGUUUUCCUUGAACAGCUGUGAGUCCAUUCAGUUGGAUGAUCAAGCAUAGACUCAUCUUCAUCUUGAGUCAGCAGCGAGUUUUGAAAUGAGGAGGUUUCGGAUCCAAGAUCCACUUCAUUAUUGUUCCUUUACACACUCAGGCGGGAAGUGAGAUCAAGGAAGGUGUCUUUGCUGCAAGGAAUUGUGAGACCACCCAUUGGAUGAUCGUAUCCAAAUUCUUCUUCAGCUUGACUCAGCAAAUCCAGGAACAGAGGCUGGUUCAAAUAUGAUACUGGGAUUACAAAUCUCUUCAUCUGUUUCUUCCCAACAUAGACUGCGAGAUAACCUUUCGGGACAUCUAAGGUCUUAGCAGCAGAUAGAGGUUGAAUAAGACUUUUCUUGGUGUUAACAAUUCCAGGCAACCGGAAUCCCAUGGUUUUUAUAUGAGUUGAAGAAAGCGGAAAAGAGUUAUAAGGACUUGGGAAACAGAGAAGGUUUUGAAUUCAAGGCAAGGAGAAUACUUGACUUCCUUAUCUCAAAUAAUCGGUUUAUAUAUAGAGAGAAAGGGUCUGUGGACAAUCUUUGAAUGAGUGGUGAAGACACACUAUCCGUUUGCUACAUGAAAUGAGUGGCGAAGAUGCACACCAGCGAGAGACAGUAGCUUGUGAAAAAUCAAGAGAUCACAUGUGUAUGUCUUGCCGUUGAUGAAGUCUACUGUAGAAACAUCCUUCCCUACCUCAUUGCACGAGAGACACGGAGUGGACCUUCAUAAAUGGAUUUUCUAUAUAAGAAAAUAACUUCAGAUGUGGAUUUCUACCCAGCACUGAUAAUUGGAGUUGCUCUACAGACAAGAAUAUGUGGUACUAUAUUAACAGUUCUAUAUGUGGUUAGAUAUAAAUGAUGCUAUGUACUGGGAACAAGAAAGUUAGGUUAGCAUGUGGCUUUGUUGUUUCAUCUAUGUCUCCAGUGUCAACAAGCUGGGGAAGUGUUUCAAUUUUUGAUCUGUCUAGAAAAUUAAAUAGACUGCCAACCAUGACCUGA